AGAAGAACCUGACUGCCUGCAUUUAACUCUCUGCUUGUUACAGAAAAUCUGCAUUGUUUUGAUAUUUGCAAGACAAGAAGUCUGCCAAAAGUUUGCAGGACAUAUAUUCUAUUUUUUGAGGAGAUGUGGAGUUUUUGAUGCUAGUUCUCAUCAUCUGCUUUCUGAAGGCCUCUUUAACUAUCUUUUCGCAAAACAAGUCACAAUUCAAAUGGUUCUGAAGGCAAAUCCAAGAUUUGGAGAAGUCCUAGCUGUAAUAUUUCAACCACAUGCAUCGUCAAAAGAUUGCUGCAUGACCAUCUCCUCCCUGAUGGCUAAGAUAAAUACACUUUCUUUAAUUUGACUGUUGCCUUGAUAAAAUCAUAGUGUGUUUCUAAAAGGAUUUUGAAUUAGGUUAUUGUUUAAUAGGUGAUUGCUAACAUUUGUAUAAUUCAUUUUUUUGCAAACACCACAAGUUUUUCAAAGCUUAUAUGUGUUCUUCUUUGGGACAAUCAACUUGUAGACUUGCAUUUUCUUCUAUAAUUUCCUUCAAAGUGACAUCAUAUCUCUAUUUCGAGAUAUUAGUCUUGUAAUUUUCUUUUAAGUUUAAUGUUUAUUAUUUUUGCAGUAUUCAUGAACUCAUCUGUUGAUUGGCAUAUUAAUCAAUUUAAGGUGCUUUUUGGUACUAAUUGAAGCUCAACUUUCCUGCCGAUUGGUUAGCUGCUUCAGGAAUGGAGCAACACGGCUAAAGAUGUAAAAUCGAGGAGUUGGAAAUGUAUCCAGUGAGGACGCAAUCUGAUGUGGAUGAUGGUGGACACAGAAAGCAAGCAAUCUGGCUCAGCAGAAUCGAGUCCAUGGUUUUAUUGCAACAAUAAAAAAAAGUGAUUUCUCUAUACAAACUUUCCAUGGGAGUGAUCAAGAAAGAGUGUGAAUAAAACCUUAAUUUCUUAUGUGAUGACUUGUCUAGCAGGUAUGAGAAUGUAUAUGGAAUAAAUUGAAGAUUGUGUUAAUUUUAUACAGAAAAAUGAAAUGUCAAAAAUAGACAACCUUUGUGCUGGGAUGAAUAAAUGCUUAUGGUGUUAAGUGGUUAUUGACAUAUUGGACUGUCAAUUAGUGAUGGAUAGAAUUCCAAAGUCAUUUCUUUUGUGGUCUUAUUUACAUGAGAUUCUCUUAAGCCGUGAACUUUGAACCCUUAUUCUGGUAGCUGACUCUGAAUCUUUGAGAGUCUAGAGAACUUUUUGAUGGAGCUUUUUGCUCACUCUCAUAAGCGGAAGAGUAUGGUGUCCUUGAAGUACUAAGGUUUAUGUAGUAGGUAAUAGAUCUUACUAAUGGAGUGAAUGCAACUUUUCCAUUUGCAAUCUGCUACGAGUACAAAGAUUAGUAGCCGGUAGAAUGGUUAGUACAUGCUUAUGCUGAACCAUGACUUGAGCCACAAUUGAAUCGCACUAAUGUAUCUCCCCCAUGGUCUUGCAUGGUCAAAGGAAUCAGUCUGAUUGCUUUUUUUUUUUCCUUUUUCGACUUACUGCUUUCUCUGCAAUGAUGAAGGUAGAGCAUGCUGCUUGUUUUUGGUUUCUAAUUCAAAAACCUUCUUAAGACAUGCAAAUAAUGGUAUCUGUAACUUCCUCUGCAUUUUUCCCCAUUCUGCUGAUCAAGGCUAUAUUCCUUUAAUCUGUGAUGUUUAUGGUGCACUAGCUUUUGUUGGCAUCUUUUCAAGAAUAUUUUCCAUGUUUUCUUUUUAUACCUUUCUAGAAUUCCUUAUCAGCAAAUGCAUCUGAUGCUAACUGAUCUAAUGAAUUCAAGGAACAUAAUUUUGAAGAGCUGGUACAUAAGUGGUAAAAACGAAACAUGUACAUUUUAGAAAGCCAGCUAUUGAAAUCCUCUAAUUAACUUGUAGCCUGCUUAAGAAUCUAAAUGGUACAACAAAGUUCCAUUCAUUUGAUAUAUUAGUUCUCGUCAUCCCAGCUGUCCCCUCGUGGUCCACUUUAUUUUACUUGCAUCUGGAACUACUGGUAUACUUGAUAGACAUGGUAUUGGUUCCUUUUCAGAAGAUUUGAGGAUCAAGUAGAGCAAGCCAUUUCCAAUCUCGAGCCUAACCAGUAAGAUUUAGGUUGUUGCUUUCCCAAAAUUUAGAUUGAGGUUAUUUUCAGAUUUUCUAUUUAAUUUUUGAAGCCCUAUCGCUUCUCUAUUGCUGGAUGCUACUAAACUGAACUGGUGCAUGUGUGACAGCAUAUGAAUUACCCCAAGCCUUCAUCUCCGUAUGCUAUGAAGUAACAAGACUGUGCCAGUUAGAAUUUUGUCUGGUCCUUAUUCUUCUCAUCCUAUAAAGCCGUAAGACAUUGUGCAAUUAUGUGUUUCAAUAAUGUCUCAUGGAACAUGGAGUUCUGUGCUCUGCAGAUUAUUAACUUGGAGUUCUUUGAUAUUCUAAAACAUGCUAUAAUUGAAAUUUCAGUUCUAGCAUCAUUCUGAAAUUUAUUUUAUCCCAUCAUAAAGAGAACAAUGUUGGGAUCGAUCCAAUAUCAUCAUAAGCAUAUGCUCCCACUUGGCCACUUGGCAUGUAGACUAAUACGAAUACCGGUGUUUAAUCACUAUUCUUCCCGUUGCCCCCCACUUCCCACCAAAAAGCAAAACUCAUUCAACACUGCCUUUUUUAUGUACAAGUUUCUUAUAUUCUUCAUUCUACUGAAUAUAUUUUUUCUGGUCCUAUGUAAAGCAUGAACCUGGGCAUUUUUUUUCACUACCUGUGCCUUGCUUAUUCCCUUCAUGUUAAAGUCUUAGGUCUGCAAGCUGUUUUGUUCUGUAAAUUCGAGCAAAACAUCAUGUCGUCCAUUGAUGUUUCGUUUUACUAUGGGUAUAUCUUAUCUACAAAUUUCCAGAACUGAUUCUGCCACAGAAAUUCC
Non-coding RNA from Elaeis guineensis (African oil palm), 2873 nucleotides. The record is from RefSeq and is a predicted model, not a curated record. NCBI's taxonomy places the organism in Eukaryota, Viridiplantae, Streptophyta, Magnoliopsida, Arecales, Arecaceae.